Molecule: transfer RNA, 71 nt
Filed under: Candidatus Kuenenia stuttgartensis
Lineage: Bacteria; Pseudomonadati; Planctomycetota; Candidatus Brocadiia; Candidatus Brocadiales; Candidatus Brocadiaceae
Description: Candidatus Kuenenia stuttgartiensis tRNA
Rfam family: tRNA
About the family: Transfer RNA (tRNA) molecules are approximately 80 nucleotides in length.
Source: Rfam by way of RNAcentral
UGGGGAAUAGUGUAACGGUAGCACAAGUGACUCUGGAUCACUUUGUCGGGGUUCGAAUCCCUGUUCCCCAG